Molecule: long non-coding RNA, 301 nt
Organism: Helicoverpa zea (corn earworm)
Lineage: Eukaryota; Metazoa; Arthropoda; Insecta; Lepidoptera; Noctuidae
Exons: 3
Source: RefSeq, a predicted model, not a curated record
CUGCUCAGUUUCGACAUGAAGCUUUUUGGAGUACUUUUAGCUGUUAUGGCAAUGGCCCUGGCUUUUGUGGGAGCCAUGAGCACUGGUGCUGAGCCUGCCGGGUGUCACGGCGGAGGAGGCGGCAGACCACCGCGCCCCCCUCCUUCCACUCCAGCCACCACCACAGCAGCUUCUACUAAUGCGACUAGCGGAUAAUCCACAAAACUUCGAUCGUCUGAAAAUGCUUGAAUAAUAAUAACAAACGGCACACAAUUACAACAAUUAUUAUACGAAAAAAUAAAAUAAAAAUGUUUUGCUCCUA